Molecule: long non-coding RNA, 3269 nt
Organism: Branchiostoma floridae (Florida lancelet)
Lineage: Eukaryota; Metazoa; Chordata; Leptocardii; Amphioxiformes; Branchiostomatidae
Exons: 5
Source: RefSeq, a predicted model, not a curated record
AUAAGACAUACCCAGAGCACGUACAGCUACCAAUUAUAAGCGUAAUCUUUCACUUCGUACAAGCCGUUCUAACAGGUUCUCUUGGGGGAUUUUAGGAGAGGGGGAGUCUUUGAUAGCUAAGGUGGACACGAUGGGUAAAAACGAGACCAGUAAGAAGCCCCCGCGAACGGGCAGGUUUCGCCCAGUCAAGUUGUUUUUCCGAAUGAUCAAAGAAGCGACGAAACCGAUUUGGGACAACAUGUACAUAAUCCGGCCAACCAGCAUAGCAACAAUCAUCAUCGUCUUCGGGGUUCUCUACAUUUUUGUGUUUUAGAAAGUGAAAAAAUAAAGUCCGACGUAAACAAGAUAGAGUAAUGUCCUGCAGUACCCGAAUGAGUGUCAUGAUCACCUAGGUGGCGCAAGGAACGACGUACAUCAAGGAAAUACACAGAUACUAGAUUACAGCAUACACUAGUGCAAAGAAACUGAGUCAAACUUGCACAACAGAGCCCAUGAGAUUCAACCAUUAUGACCUGUGUCUAGUAUGUACUUUAGUCUAGAAGAGAACUCUGGGUUCCUUUAAGUUAUGGAAAUGCGAGUUCUUGAUGCCCGACUGAGCUGAAUCAAAGAGGAAAUUUUGCUACGUACUCUAAUGCGUAAAGCUUUGUAAUAUGUUGCAUAAGAUAUGACUAAUGAAUGUUAACAGCUGCACUGUGAGAGUUGCUUAAUGUUAACAUAUUGCAAUGUAUUAUGUCUCUGAAAUGUAGCUUUAGGAAUUAUAGACAUAUCUUAGUAAUGAUUUCGCUUAAAAGAGCUCUUGGAUCACCAUCGGUUUAAAGAACUUGUUUUCAAAAAAGGCUUGCGACAUGUCUAAAGAGAUGUGUUUAGGGGAUUGUUUACAUAUCUGUCUGCUAUUCUUCUGUUUACGGGUCACUUCACCAGCAAACCGGUUGUACGGCUUGUAAAUUGUUGUAACAAACAUGGCGGCAGGAUGGCAACAUCGGCACUGCAGCGCCUCAUAGCGGUUAAACUGCAGAACUGCAUAUAAUUUACAUUUAAUAUUUAAAUAAAGCUUAUCUAUUAUACAUGUAUAUAAUUAGGCCACUCUGUCUCAAUUCUAUGGAAAACAUCGUUAUCGAUGUUCGAAGGUUUCGGAGCACAUGUAACACAAUUUGUAUAUAAUCUCUGUCGUGACAGGAAUACUAGUAGUGUAGUAAUAUUUUUCCUAGGGAAAAUAUAUUGUUUUGCUGGUGUAUUUAUUUCUUAUUCUGUCAGCAGCCAAUCAGAGCUUAGAUCUGCGUUAGUAUACGAUGUUAACUAUAUACAUGUAUUGUAAAUAUGGCGAGCGUAAGCUACGUAACACUAUUCUAUGCAAGUAGUUUGACAAAAGGCAACAUGGAGAACAUUCUGCAUUUUCGCAAAAAAUGUUGCCUUUCUAGUUACUCUUGGCUUUGUCUUGAAGUUGGAAACUUUUCAUGUUUACGUUCAUGCAAAUAGAAACCCUCAGCUAUGUAUAAUUUUUGGUAUAUCUUGGUAAAAAAAAAGUCACAAUAAACGCAUGCAUCUACUGAAUGUACUGAGAUUUGCUACCAGAAAAUAUUUGAUUCUUAUUCUCUUGUCUUUGUAAUCAUCAUUCUCGCUUCACUCAAUGGCAAAAUGCAAGAUUAUACAAAACGCUGAUAUAUGUCGCAGAAUUCGAAAGAUCUUUACUGUGACACCAUAAGACGUUAACAAUUCGAGGUGACUUUACUGAAAUAACUUGCAUACUUUUAGAAGAAAAAGAAAUGGUAACGGAAUGUUUCCAAAAAUAAGAUAAAUAAAUUUUCAACCACAUUGCACUGAUAUAAUGCACACACUUAUGCUCUAAAUCGUACAAACCAGCCUAAGAAUAAGCAAAGAUAUGACGUGGAUUGCAAAAAUAAAUAUAUUUGUACAAUAGAAGCCAGUUAAUUGAACAAUGGAUAUCCCCACACCUCUGUUAAUUGUACGGAUCUCCGAAUCCCAAACCGGUGCGGUCCAGCUGGACAACUCCGCAUUAUUGCACUAGCCGGACUAUUGCAUGAAAUACACUGGCAAAUGGUGUGUGCAAUUAAACGGCUUCGUACUAGUAGUAGGCCCACCCAGUAACAAUACCAACCGUUGAAAGGAAUUUAAAGCAGCGGUUUAACAGGUUUUGUAAUCAUCUAUCAGAAUCAUGUGACUUACAAAUCACAAAGCAUUGGCCCUUAUCAACAACACCUUCAGAUUCGCCAUUUUGUUUCCGUACUCGUCAGACUCAACUCAGAGCUUGUCUCAUCCUGCAAAGUAGAGCUUAGUAUACGGACAUGGGGAAAGUUGAGUGGCACAAGAUUGAGGACUGGAGCACCCGUGGCAGGGCCAGGUCCAACCUGCUAAAAGACUGGCGGGACAAAGUAAGUGACGCGGUCCAUCGUGUCUGGGACCCCGUCUUGGGAAACAUGGUCGGGCCAGCCAGUGUUGUGCUUGCUUUGACCAUCAUAGUCGUUGUAUCCAUUGCUGUCUAGAAAGGUGUUUGCGGACAGUUUGCCGCGGUUAGUUGGGGCCCCACGACGGUUCACGAUUUACGACGACCUGUUCUCGUCACUUCCAAGAGUACUCUCUUCACCGCGGAAGGAUACUACAGACGCACAUGUUUAUACAUUGGCCAGUUGAUCCACACGGACUCUUCACUGAUAAUUUUCUUUACUUAAUGUGAACAAGCAUUCGUCACAAAGAAAUGCUUUUGCACAACAACUGAAUAUUACAUUAUUACAAUCCAUAGUUUGUUUACUACGCAAAAUGUUACGGAAUUAGCUUUCGUAGGAACCAGUAGUUUUACAUGCUGAAUCACUUAUGAUUAUCAACUAUAUUGUAAGACUUUGUUCGUGAAAAUAUUGAUGAGAUGUUAUAUGUAUACUGGAUACAGGGUAUUUGUAUACGUAUCUGUACUACUGUGACACCACAGAAACUCAUGAGGAAAGUUAUUAAUAUUCUAUACGUACAUGUACGGGUAUCUAGUAAUGCUUGUAUGCUAAAUUUCUUUAAUCACCAAACUUUUAACAAUAUAAACAAAUCUUAGUUCACAUUUCUUUGUGGUUGAACAAAGUUUUCGCGACAGUACUUAAUUUCCACAGCGCUUGUAGCUGAUUAAGUUAAAUGUUAAUUAGAAAUCUGCAUACCACAGGUGCAUGAUUUGUUAUAUAGCUGUUACGGUGUAUAAUUUUGUGCUCCAGACUUAGCCAACACUAGCAUCUGAGUAGCUUCUUUUCACAAUAAAUGCCAAUCCUUCCCAA